Molecule: ribosomal RNA, 668 nt
Filed under: Oropsylla hirsuta (prairie dog flea)
Lineage: Eukaryota; Metazoa; Arthropoda; Insecta; Siphonaptera; Ceratophyllidae
Description: SSU rRNA
Rfam family: Eukaryotic small subunit ribosomal RNA
Source: RNAcentral
CAAGCCUGGUGCCAGCAGCCGCGGUAACUCCAGCUCCAAUAGCGUAUAUUAAAGUUGUUGCGGUUAAAAAGCUCGUAGUUGAAUCUGUGUCCCACACUGUCGGUUCACCGCUCGCGGUGUCCAACUGGCAUGUCUGUGGGACGUCCUGCCGGUGGGCGCAGCCCCUCAAAAGGCGGCCCAACUCAAAAUCCUACCACGGUGCUCUUCACCGAGUGUCGAGGUGGGCCGGUACGUUUACUUUGAACAAAUUAGAGUGCUUAAAGCAGGCUCAUUCGCCUGAAUAUUCUGUGCAUGGAAUAAUGGAAUAGGACCUCGGUUCUAUUUUGUUGGUUUUCGGAACUCCGAGGUAAUGAUUAAUAGGGACAACUGGGGGCAUUCGUAUUGCGACGUUAGAGGUGAAAUUCUUGGAUCGUCGCAAGACGGACAGAAGCGAAAGAAAUGUGUUUUCAUCAAUCAAGAACGAAAGUUAGAGGUUCGAAGGCGAUCAGAUACCGCCCUAGUUCUAACCAUAAACGAUGCCAGCUAGCGAUCCGCCGAAGUUCCUCCGAUGACUCGGCGGGCAGCUUCCGGGAAACCAAAGCUUUUGGGUUCCGGGGGAAGUAUGGUUGCAAAGCUGAAACUUAAAGGAAUUGACGGAAGGGCACCACCAGGAGUGGAGCCUGCGGCUU